AAUCCUGACACAGGGAGGUAGUGACAAGAAAUAACGGGUCGGGGCAUUUGCCUCGGGAUUGCAAUGAAUCGAAUUUACACCCCUUAAUGAGGAUCAAUUGGAGGGCAAGUCUGGUGCCAGCAGCCGCGGUAAUUCCAGCUCCAAUAGCGUAUAUUAAAGUUGUUGCAGUUAAAACGCUCGUAGUCGGAUUUCGGGGCGGUCCCGCCGGUCUGCCGAUGGGUACGCACUGGCGGGCGCGUCCUUCCUCCCGGAGACGGCCGCUACUCUUAACUGAGCGGUGGUCGGAGACGGGAUGUUUACUUUGAAAAAAUCAGAGUGUUUCAAGCAGGCAGUCGCUCUUGCAUGGAUUAGCAUGGGAUAAUGAAAUAGGACUCUGGUGCUAUUUUGUUGGUUUCGAGCACCGGAGUAAUGAUUAACAGGGACAGUCAGGGGCACUCGUAUUCCGCCGAGAGAGGUGAAAUUCUCAGACCAGCGGAAGACGAACGACUGCGAAAGCAUUUGCCAGGGAUGUUUUCACUGAUCAAGAACGAAAGUUAGGGGAUCGAAGACGAUCAGAUACCGUCCUAGUCUUAACCAUAAACUAUGCCGACUCGGGAUCGGGGGCGAGCAUUAUCCGUCUUCGGCACCGUAUGAGAAAUCAAAGUCUUUGG
RNAcentral lists this ribosomal RNA (650 nucleotides) under Strombidinopsis acuminata. RNAcentral's name for it is "partial Eukaryotic small subunit ribosomal RNA". It matches the Rfam family "Eukaryotic small subunit ribosomal RNA", at positions 447 to 1110 of the family's 1831-position model. The record is from RNAcentral. Lineage: Eukaryota; Ciliophora; Spirotrichea; Choreotrichida; Strombidinopsidae.